Long non-coding RNA from Scylla paramamosain (green mud crab), 547 nucleotides. RefSeq lists it as uncharacterized. The record is from RefSeq and is a predicted model, not a curated record. Lineage: Eukaryota; Metazoa; Arthropoda; Malacostraca; Decapoda; Portunidae. The transcript has 3 exons.
AUAAUAGUGGUAAUACAUGCCAGAAACAAGGAAGAUAUAGCAAGCCACACCAGCCCUUGGUUUAAUGGCUUCUGAUUAUGAUUACGUGACCAUUGCCGCCUCUACCAACGACUACAUAAUGAGUUUGAGUUCCCGGGAGGGCGCUGGAUAUUCCCAGGGGCACCGCCAUUCGUGGCCUUCCGUUGCGAGGUUUAGGGACAAAGGUAGACAGCGAGAAUGAGAUGGUCUGGGCGUGUCAAGAGGAGAGACGAGGAGUGUGCAGGGAGGAGGAUGCUGGAGAUGGAUGAAGGCAGCAGGAGAAAGAGAGGAAGACCCAAGAGAAGGUUUAUGAUACAGUGCAAGACGUGCCUGUAAUGGGUAUGACUGAGGAAGGCGCAGAGGAAUCAGUGCAUUGAAGAAUGCUGAACAGCUGUGGCGACGGGAGUAGCCCAAAGAAUAACAACAACAGUAACAACAAUAACAACAACAAGUGUAGAAUUCAUUAACGGAAGAUUUUUCAGGGAAGAUGAUUUGCAGUAAGUGGUUGUGCUUUUCGUUCAGCUUGACC